RNAcentral lists this ribosomal RNA (480 nucleotides) under uncultured Pseudomonadota bacterium. Its description in RNAcentral is "bacterial SSU rRNA". It matches the Rfam family "Bacterial small subunit ribosomal RNA", at positions 56 to 527 of the family's 1533-position model. Lineage: Bacteria; Pseudomonadati; Pseudomonadota. The record is from RNAcentral.
UGCAGUCGACGGCAGCACAGGAGAGCUUGCUCUCUGGGUGGCGAGUGGCGGACGGGUGAGGAAUAUAUCGGAAUCUACCCUUUCGUGGGGGAUAACGUAGGGAAACUUACGCUAAUACCGCAUACGAACUGAGGUUGAAAGCGGCGGACCGCAAGGCGUCGCGCGGAUGGAUGAGCCGAUAUCCGAUUAGCUAGUUGGCGGGGUAAAGGCCCACCAAGGCGACGAUCGGUAGCUGGUCUGAGAGGAUGAUCAGCCACACUGGAACUGAGACACGGUCCAGACUCCUACGGGAGGCAGCAGUGGGGAAUAUUGGACAAUGGGCGCAAGCCUGAUCCAGCCAUGCCGCGUGUGUGAAGAAGGCCUUCGGGUUGUAAAGCACUUUUGUUGGGAAAGAAAAGCGGUCGGUUAAUACCCGGUCGUUCUGACGGUACCCAAAGAAUAAGCACCGGCUAACUUCGUGCCAGCAGCCGCGGUAAUACG